Molecule: RNA transcript, 5876 nt
Organism: Strigops habroptila (Kakapo)
Lineage: Eukaryota; Metazoa; Chordata; Aves; Psittaciformes; Psittacidae
Gene: PASK
Gene name: PAS domain containing serine/threonine kinase
Exons: 17
Source: RefSeq, a predicted model, not a curated record
GCCAUCAGGGGCGGUGGCCGCCGGGCUGGGGCCGGGGCGGGGGCUCGGGCUCGGGCAGGCGGGAGGCGGGCGGCGGGCUGGCAGGGGGGCUGGCAGUGCUGCACUCGCUGACCCAAACCUGGGAGUUACUUUACAAAUUACCAAAGCUUUUAAAACUUUAGAGCAAGAAUGGGGAGGGGGUGUCCGGCUAGGGGCUUGGUGGCUCUUACGGAAAUAUGAUGGAGGUGCCCUGUCGAUCACAGGUAUUCUGUACUGCCUGGGCAGGAUAAUAGCCAAGAGAGUCACUUUUGCAUUAACAAACACAGACAAAAAGUUGAUUGGGACAUUCGAGAUUGAACUGCAGUCUUGCCAUAGCUUACAGGUCUAUGCUUUAGGUUGGAAGGAACUGUUAUUUGUCAGUGAUCCAAGCGACAGUGCCUGACAAUUUCUUGUGUUUCUGUUGCAGAUGGUGGCUCCCUAGGUGUGGUGUGGCAACCAGAGCAUGAUCAUGGCAGCUGAGGUUUAUCGCCCCUCUGAAGGGAGCCUUCUACCUUCAUCAAUAGGCUUAGACUGUGCUCACCUGAAUGACUCUGAUAAGCUAAGUCUAUCCUACCCCUGGGCCAGCAAAAGCAGGAAAAGCCAGCUUUCUCAACUCUGCCGGCUUAGAGCAUCUCUAUCUGGAGAGAAAUGGAGCUCUUACUGUUUGUCUUCACUGGCAGCUCGUAACAUUUGUACCAGCAAAACUGGUAACUCAGGAGCUCAGUGGGCUUCUUCCUCUCUCUCCACUUCCAUUGGAAGCUCUUCUUCUUGCUCUUUUUUGCAUACCUUCACUGAGGGAUCCAGCCAGCACCUCCCAACUGCUGCACGCAACCCAAACAAAGCCAUCUUCACUGUGGAUGUCAACACAACAGAGAUCCUGGUGGCUAAUGACAAAGCCUGCAAGCUCCUUGGGUGCAGCAGUCAGGAACUCAUUGGUCAAAAGCUGUCCUGUUUGAUAUCCAAAUCCAGUCAAGAGGCAUGGGAAGCUGUGGGUGAGGAGUACCUAGAAACUGAUGAACGUUCAUCACUGGUUUCAGGAACUGUGGUGGAUGUCAUAGGCCAUCUCAAAGAGAAGAUCCCUGUCUCAGUCUGGCUGAGACAAAUAAGAAGCAAGGACAAGCAGUGUUGUGUGGUUGUGCUGGAACCAGUGGAAAGACUCUCAGCUUCUGUUUCCUUCACGGUUGACGGAGAGAUUACAUCAUGUGACCUCCAUUUUGCCCAUCUCCAUGGCUACCCAACAUUGGAAGAAGUAGUUGGACUCCACAUAAAGGACCUGAUUCCUUCUGUGCAGAUCCCUCCUCUAGACAAAAAAAUCCCAAAGAACCUCAGGAUCCAGCGAGCUGUAGGCCGAUCCAGAGAGGGUAACAUGUUUCCUCUCAGUUUAAAGCUGCAAGUAAGCCUUCUGGAAGAGGACCAAAUGACAAUGCAGAAAGAUGGUGUUCUGCAGGCAGAAAAAGGCAGCUCUUUCACAGGCUAUCAUUACUCUGCUACAGUCGUGGUUUUCUUCACCAUCAGUGGUCUUAUUACUGUCAAGUCAGAUGGAACCAUCUGUGGCAUCAAGGAUAGUUUUGCUUUAAUGCUUUUUGGCUAUGAGAAGAAAGAACUGUUGGGAAAGAACAUUACAUUCCUGAUCCCUGGUUUCUAUAACAACAUGGAGAGAAGCAGUGACUGUUCUUUGCCAUUACCUCCUCUUGACGGCUCCAUGGGGACAGAGGACAGCAGCUUCUUGGCUGCAUCUGUAGCGAGCCUUCUGUCAAGAGGCGAAGAGCAGAAACUGGAACGAAGACACAAAGAUGAAAAAUUAAUGCACGAUGAGACUAAACAAAAGAAUGUGACCAGUUUCUUUUCUACUCCCUCACCUCCUGCAGUGGUACCCAUUCUCUCUAAUAGGCUAGAAGACAAUCUAGAUACUGAAUCCUAUGGCCCAAUUAAGCUGCCUUCUGAUGUUACUUGUAACUCACCUGGAACACCAACAAAAGAUGAGCCAUGGUCUGGGACACCACCAGACUACAGACAAGACUUUCAAAGCCAUAUGGCUACAGGGCAGUUGUCAAAAUCAAACUUCAUGUGUGAUGAAAAACAUUCCAGCCUUGAGCACAUUGUAGUUGAAGGCUGCCUGCUAAAUGAUGCUUCAUCCUUCUUUGCAAAUGGAAGAAAUACUAUCCAUGAUGUUUGCUCAGGAAAUAAAACGGGUUGCAGUGCUUCUGCAGCAGUUGCCACAACCUCUGAAGAUGUUAAAGAAUCAGACACUGAGCUGAACUGCAUUUGCUCUGAUCUUGAGGUACUGGGUCUGAAUAUUGGUGUCAAAGGGCGCUCAGACAAUUGUUUAGGUAUUGCUGCAGCUCAUGUAGGAGCAUCCUCCUCUGAUGCAGUGGACUUGGGUGUGGGCAAUAUGCUAACUCAGGGAAACAGCGCCUUUUCAACUGGGCAAGAAAAGCAGCUGUUGAAUGGUGUUGCCAUAGAAGAUAGUUCUGAGUGGCUCGCCUCCCAAAGGCAUUUAGAAGACUCUGGAGAAUCCUCCAAAGCAUUUAUUGAGAAGCCUGAAACUCUUACAGAGACCAUGGGGGACAACAUCAACAAGACCCCACUGAAGAGCAAAGGUAGUCCUGAAAAAGACCGUGAGCUGCAUGGGCAGCAAAAUAUGGAGAUAAAGGCAACAUCAACCCCAGUGAAACAAGAAGGAAGGCUGAACUCAGCAGCUCCUUUGACCUUGGAGAUUCUGGAAGGCAGCUAUGCUGGGAAUUGCUGCCACAGAGAUGGGUCACAAUUAAGUAUACUCUUUGAAGUGAAACGUGUAGAACUGCAGGACCCUGCUGUGCUGUUCUGUGUCUGGGUGGUGAAAGACCUUCUGCAGAGCCAAAAGGAAGCUGGAGCAAAGAGUCAGCUUUUGCUCUCCAGUCUGGCAAGCUCUGCACAGUCUAUUGCUGAUCUUUCUACAAAUAGUCUUGGAGAAGCCAUCAGAUCAACUUCACUUUUUGAGAAUUCCCGAGGAGCUGAAGAGCUUGAGGGUCUAAGGGCAUGUGAAGGAGAAUAUGCAGAAAACUAUAACACUCUCAGUCUUAUUGGCAAAGGAUCUUUUGGCUUUGUCUGGACUGCCAGGGGCAAGAAAGAUCACCAGGAGGUCGUUGUAAAGUUCAUCUGGAAGGAGAGGGUGCUUGAGGACUGCUGGGUAGAUGAUCCUGAUCUGGGGAGAGUGACUCAAGAAAUUGCAAUCCUGUUGAAGCUGCAGCACCCCAAUAUCAUUAAGGUGCUGGAUGUGUUUGAAAAUGAACAGUUCUUCCAGCUGGUGAUGGAGAAGCAUGGAUCUGGUCUGGAUCUCUUUACAUUCAUUGAUAAUCAGCCCAACCUGGAUGAGCCAUUAGCCAGCUAUAUAUUCAGACAGCUUGUAUCAGCUGUUGGGUAUCUUCACUGUAGAAACAUCCUUCACAGAGAUAUCAAGGAUGAAAACAUUGUCAUUGCUGAAGAUUUCACAAUUAAAUUAGUGGAUUUUGGUUCAGCUGCCUACCUGGAACCCAGCAAAUUGUUUUAUACCUUCUGUGGGACAAUUGAAUACUGCUCACCAGAAGUGCUGUCUGGCAAACCGUAUGUCACCCUCUGAAAAGUCAUUUUUGUGUCCAUUGCACCAAAAAUUGUGGGUGCAGGGCUGGAAUAGAGAAGCCAAGCUGCUUUGCCUUUGGUGCUCUGCUAGAGUAUCUAACCACAGAAGACUGCAGUGAGAUUUAGGGCACUGCAGUGACAGAAAUGACUUGUAAAGGUUUGAAUGCAUAUAAAGUAGGGCACUGUGGUGACAGAAAUUAGUUCUAAAGGCUUGAAUACAUACAAAGUUUCUUCUGAUUAAGUCUGUUGACAGGCUUUCUGAUUCUGGUCAGAUGUUUUGCAAAGCUUUGUACUAAUGUCUGUCCUACUGCAGAGCCAAGUUCAAGAACAAGCCUAAGAGUUUAAUUAGCAGCCUGCUAGAAGAGUUUGGAUGAGUUGGGUUGUACUUGAAUGUGUCCUUUUCCUUAAUCUUUCAUAACACGUACAUCAGGUUGCUAACCUUCUUUUCAUACCUGCGUCUAUGCACUCGUGGGUCUCUACCAAAAGCUGCUCUUCUAGAGAGGUGGUAUAAGCAAGUAUUGCUGUGUAGCACCUGCCCCUUACCGUAUCUGUGUUUUAUGCUUCUCCCAUUCCCACCUCGUCUGCUCCCUUCUUUCCUACUUGCUUCCCUGUAUGAAUUUUUGCAUUUUGAUCAUCGUUCAUCUCCCCAUUGAUAUUUGUGCUGCUCUGGACUCAAGGAUUCUUCCCUUGCGUCCUGUCGUGCUCCUGUCUUGGAUGUGCUGCCCAAAUCUUAGCUGACUUUUCCCUGUUCUCUCCUUCUCCAAGUGCUCUUUCCCUGGAGGCUGGCAGUCUCAUACCCACUCCUGGAGGGAAGCCUUAUCAUCACAGGGUGAUAAACAUUAAUUGUACAUGCAAGUAUGUUAUCUUGCUCUCAGUUCACAGCUGUUCUCAUAGGUCCUUCAAGCAGCUUCUCUUAAUGGGGAGGGGGGAAGCAAUGCAAGGAGGAGAGGAAAUCCCUGCUGGGAAUGAGAUGGAAAAUGCAGUGCUGCCCUGGGAAUUCAGCCUGUUACUGUGUGAAAAAACUGUCCUUUUUUAUCAGAUAGAAUCUUGAUAGUUAAUGUUUCUUUCCAGAUAACACUUGCUUUGAAAAGAUUGGGAGGAGGUAAAUGAGAUUCCACUGAGGUGUCUGAUCUUCCAUUUAAAUAUUUACUUGAUAGUUUUGGCUUAUGGUGAAGAAGGAAGAAAAUUAAGUUCUCCUGUCACCAGCUUACCCAUGUGGAAGUCUAGGUGCAUAUUUUACAUACUCAUCAAUUGAAACUGGUUGGCCGUUCUUCUGGUUGUUUUUGUUUCAUGGAGAAGGAUAACAUGGAGAAGACUUCUCAAAAACAUGUACCGUGGCCCUGAGCUGGAGAUGUGGUCACUUGGUGUCACCCUUUAUACCCUAGUGUUUGGAGAGAAUCCCUUCUGUGAGCUGGAGGAGGCCAUGGCAGCUGUCCUGAAUCCUCCUCGGGCUGUCUCAAAAGGUCUCAUGAAUCUCAUGAUUGGGCUUUUGCAUCCUAUUCCAGAGCAGCGCACGACGCUGGUGAUGUUAGUAGAGGAUCAAUGGCUGAAGCAGCCUGUGAACCUGGGUGAUUAUACCUGGGAAGAGGUAUACCUCUCUGCUGAGACAGAAAGCAGCAGAUUCAGAAAUGGUUCUGGUGAGCAGGUGCAUGGAGACAAGCUCCCAGCUCCUCACGUGGAGAGUGAACCACGCUUGAAUGCUCCCGACUGUGAGUGUGCCCAUUCCCACCGGGAAGAAGCAGUGGCUGUGGAGUGCCAGGGCUUGGGCCUGGGACGUUGCUGCCAUUCUUCUCCACAGCACUAGUCCCUCCCUGUGGAACGAUGACUCCCUGACUCAAGAACCAACAGGAAGAACUGUAAGCCCUAGAUUGCUGCUACUUCUCUCACAUAGAAAGAUCUGGUGAUUGGUACUGAGCAGCCUUAAGCUGCUCCGCCUGCGCACAUUCCUCUAGAAAACCUUCUAGCCAAUAAGCAUUUAUUACAUUUCUUAUAUGGGAUGUGUUUUAAAGUUGUGAGACAGAGAUUUUAGUGUCUUGUUUAAAUUGUUCAUCACUCAGGCUAUAUUUUUAUUGGCUGGUUUUACUUUGUGUAUGUAGUUUCACUUGUUCGGGAAUAGAAUUGCAUGAUGGGGGGUGUCCCUUUCCCCUUUCACCCCUUUUUUGUCAGUCCUCUCUAUAUCCAGGAAAAUAGUCAAUCAUUUUGAUGAGACAAAGAUACUGGAAAUAAAAAAAUAGAUUAAAUGAAAGAGAACUUGAACCAAU